Molecule: ribosomal RNA, 253 nt
Filed under: uncultured bacterium
Lineage: Bacteria
Description: partial 16S ribosomal RNA
Rfam family: Bacterial small subunit ribosomal RNA
Source: RNAcentral
UACGGAGGGUGCGAGCGUUAAUCGGAAUAACUGGGCGUAAAGGGCACGCAGGCGGGCUUUUAAGUGAGAUGUGAAAUCCCCGGGCUUAACCUGGGAAGAGCAUUUGAGACUGGGAGUCUAGAGUACUAUAGGGAGGGGUAGAAUUCCACGUGUAGCGGUGAAAUGCGUAGAGAUGUGGAGGAAUACCGAUGGCGAAGGCAGCCCCCUGGGGUAACACUGACGCUCAGGCCCGAAAGCGUGGGUAGCAAACAGG